RNAcentral lists this ribosomal RNA (253 nucleotides) under uncultured bacterium. RNAcentral's name for it is "partial 16S ribosomal RNA". It matches the Rfam family "Bacterial small subunit ribosomal RNA", at positions 524 to 776 of the family's 1533-position model. The record is from RNAcentral.
UACAGAGGUGGCAAGCGUUGUUCGGAAUUACUGGGCGUAAAGGGCGCGUAGGCGGCCUUCUAAGUCAGACGUGAAAUCCCCAGGCUUAACUUGGGAACUGCGUCUGAUACUGGGAGGCUUGAGUGCGGGAGAGGGAUGUGGAAUUCCAGGUGUAGCGGUGAAAUGCGUAGAUAUCUGGAGGACCACCGGUGGCGAAGGCGGCAUCCUGGACCGACACUGACGCUGAGGCGCGAAAGCUAGGGGAGCAAACGGG